UUAAAUUGAAGAGUUUGAUCAUGGCUCAGAUUGAACGCUGGCGGCAGGCCUAACACAUGCAAGUCGAACGGUAACAGGAAGAAGCUUGCUUCUUUGCUGACGAGUGGCGGACGGGGGAGUAAUGUCUGGGAAACUGCCUGAUGGAGGGGGAUAACUACUGGAAACGGUAGCUAAUACCGCAUAACGUCGCAAGACCAAAGAGGGGGACCUUCGGGCCUCUUGCCAUCGGAUGUGCCCAGAUGGGAUUAGCUAGUAGGUGGGGUAACGGCUCACCUAGGCGACGAUCCCUAGCUGGUCUGAGAGGAUGACCAGCCACACUGGAACUGAGACACGGUCCAGACUCCUACGGGAGGCAGCAGUGGGGAAUAUUGCACAAUGGGCGCAAGCCUGAUGCAGCCAUGCCGCGUGUAUGAAGAAGGCCUUCGGGUUGUAAAGUACUUUCAGCGGGGAGGAA
This 454-nucleotide ribosomal RNA is filed under the name Escherichia coli. RNAcentral's name for it is "bacterial SSU rRNA". It matches the Rfam family "Bacterial small subunit ribosomal RNA", at positions 1 to 449 of the family's 1533-position model. The record is from RNAcentral. Lineage: Bacteria; Pseudomonadati; Pseudomonadota; Gammaproteobacteria; Enterobacterales; Enterobacteriaceae.